CUUGGGUGGCGACCGGCGGACGGGUGAGUAACGCGUGGGUAACCUGCCUCAUACAGGGGGAUAACAGUUAGAAAUGACUGCUAAUACCGCAUAAGACCACAGUACCGCAUGGUACAGGGGUAAAAACUCCGGUGGUAUGAGAUGGACCCGCGUCUGAUUAGGUAGUUGGUGGGGUAACGGCCUACCAAGCCGACGAUCAGUAGCCGACCUGAGAGGGUGACCGGCCACAUUGGGACUGAGACACGGCCCAA
RNAcentral lists this ribosomal RNA (251 nucleotides) under uncultured bacterium. RNAcentral describes it as "partial 16S ribosomal RNA". It matches the Rfam family "Bacterial small subunit ribosomal RNA", at positions 83 to 334 of the family's 1533-position model. The record is from RNAcentral.